Molecule: long non-coding RNA, 1353 nt
Filed under: Gossypium barbadense (sea-island cotton)
Lineage: Eukaryota; Viridiplantae; Streptophyta; Magnoliopsida; Malvales; Malvaceae
Description: long non-coding RNA (GBAR_LNC007571)
Source: RNAcentral
UUUAUUGUUUAUUAAGAGUAUUAUUUAUUUAUCAUAUUUUAGUAUAUGAGUUAACGAUUAAUUGAUAAUUUUUUGAUUUGUUAUGAAAAUGGAGGAAUUUUUUUUCUUAUUUUAAAGUGGUCUCAUUUUUAAAAAAUAAUUUUUACUCAUCUUUUUAGUUUCAAAUUUGAAUUUGUACCAACUAUAUUUUUUAUUUUAUAUAUAACUGUUGUAAUACAUAUGCAAUAAAUUAUUUUUUUUCUCAUAGUAUUACACUAAUAACCAAACUAAGCAUAAAUUUUAUGUUUUAUUAGAGACUUUGCUUUAUAUAUAUAUUUUGUAAUGGGCCAAAUCUGCCCUGGCCCAAUAACCAAAACUCAAACCCAUUUACAAUGGCCCAAAACCAAAACCUAAGUUUAGCCAAACAGCCAAACCCUAGCAGCAAGGAGCGUCGUAGCCCUAACCUCCAGCUCCUCCGUACGCCGUACACCUCUACGCACCACGCACACCUGCAAACAGACAAGAAAACAACAGCAAAUAGAAACAAAAACAACGGAAUAACAAAAAAAAGAGGGCUUGUAUUUUCAUUUUUGGUUAUUGUUCGGCAAAAAAGCCAAAAAACCUUUUCAUUGUAACGAACUACGAACGGAUACUACACAAAAAAAGAGCAAUUAAAUACAAAAAAGGAAUCAAGGUGAUUUUCUGAUUCAAAAUCUUGGAUUUUUUUAGUUUCAUUCGUCUGGGUUUUGUUGUUCUUAUAUUCGAAAGCAAAAUAGAAAAAGAAGAAGGAAAAGAGCGUCUUACUUGGGAAAUACGCCGUAGACCUCCUUCUGCUUUGUUGAAGUCGAAGCCAGGAGGAGACCUUGAGGCUAAAAACUCAUCCUCUGGACCUGAAGGGGUAGGUCGUUGCCUGGGGAAUGGGAAUCGGUGGCUUGAGUGGUGAUUUAGGGUUCAGCUGAACGAAGGAGAUAGAGGCUUUAGCUUUUUUUUUUUUUUUACUUUGAUUUGUUAAUGGGGGGUUAGGUGUCUGAUUUAGGUUUUUUUUUAGGGCUUAAUUCUGCAGAGUAUGAAACGGCGCCGUUUGGAGGAGGAGGAUCCGUGUGUCGGCCUGAUUCGUGGCCAGGAUCAUCGCCUCUUUACAUUAAAUGGUUAAUUUGGGCGAUUGGUCCCCUUUAUUUGUUGAUCCGUUCAAUUAAAGCAUGUUUAGAUUUCUUUGUUUUUUUUUUUAAAUUUUUCUUUGAGAUUUGCGCACUACUUCAAUUUAGUCUGCGCUUAAGCAUUUUGUUUUGGAAUUGGGACCAUUUUCAUUUUUAAUCCUCGGCCAUUUGAGCGCAUUGCGCUUUGGUCCUUUUAAUGGUUUAUUCUAUUUGUUAA